ACGAGAAUAUUCCGCAAUGGACGAAAGUCUGACGGAGCGACGCCGCGUGAUGGAUGAAGUGCCUUGGUACGUAAACAUCUUUUAUCGGGGACGAAGUUUAUUGACGGUACCCGAUGAAUAAGGAGCUCCUAACUCUGUGCCAGCAGGAGCGGUAAUACAGAGGCUCCAAGCAUUACCCGGAAUCACUGGGCGUAAAGGGUGUCUAGGCGGCCAUAUUAGUCUCUCGUUAAAUGUCCGAGCUCAACUUGGUCACUGCGAGGGAAACGGUAUGGCUCGAGGGCGUGAGAGGUGCAUGGAACUCAUGGUGGAGGGGUGAAAUCCGUUGAUAUCAUGGGGAACACCAAAGGCGAAGGCAAUGCACUGGUACGUUCCUGACGCUCAAACACGAAAGCCAGGGUAGCGAAUGGGAUUAGAUACCCAGGUAGUCCCUGAGCGGGCUGGCAAGGCGCAU
This 451-nucleotide ribosomal RNA is filed under the name uncultured bacterium. Its description in RNAcentral is "bacterial SSU rRNA". It matches the Rfam family "Bacterial small subunit ribosomal RNA", at positions 355 to 825 of the family's 1533-position model. The record is from RNAcentral.